AUAAAGCAUCCAGCCAAGUGAGGGAAUAAUGCAUACUGACUACUCAGGAAGUAGCACUGCAGAUGCCACACUCUUGAAUCAGCCCAUAUUUUAACUGUAAGUAGCACACUGAAAAUCAGCAGUAAGAGAAUGAAGAAACUGGAGUCAAGACAGGGUCCAGUAGAGAGAGAGAAAAAAAACCCACUGUUUUGGAUUGUUCUUUCACAUCCUAAGCAAUCAUGAAUGUUACAGAACUAGAAUCUGGACUUCUUUUAGCUACAUGCUCAAGAUUAAAAGCAAAUGACAGGGAGAAUGCAAGAAGGGAUUGCUGGGAAGAAGGCCAGAGGAAAUUGGAGUGAGAAAUUCAAAAUGUAUGCAAGAGUUUGUCUAAGGAGAAUCAAAACUACUAUGUUUAGAAAAGGUUGAAAUUUCAUUAUUUUGCAAGAGUUACAUCAACAACUGCAAAAGCUUCAGGAAUUCCAGCCCUUUGGAUUGAAACUCUUGCCUGGAGCAUUAAGAACUUGGGGGAGAAAUCACUACUCACUGCUUUGCUCGCAAUUCUCAUUUGGACUAGCGCUUGCAGAAACUGAGCUGAACUUUCCGCACUGUUAUUGCAUCUGUAAGGUAA
RNAcentral lists this long non-coding RNA (607 nucleotides) under Homo sapiens (human). RNAcentral's name for it is "HSALNT0312765". Lineage: Eukaryota; Metazoa; Chordata; Mammalia; Primates; Hominidae. The record is from RNAcentral.